GACGAACGCUGGCGGCGUGCUUAACACAUGCAAGUCGAACGGUAAGGCCCUUCGGGGUACACGAGUGGCGAACGGGUGAGUAACACGUGGUGAUCUGCCCUGCACUUCGGGAUAAGCCUGGGAAACUGGGUCUAAUACCGGAUAGGACCAUGGACUUCACGGUUUGUGGUGGAAAGCUUUUGCGGUGUGGGAUGGGCCCGCGGCCUAUCAGCUUGUUGGUGGGGUAAUGGCCUACCAAGGCGACGACGGGUAGCCGGCCUGAGAGGGUGUCCGGCCACACUGGGACUGAGAUACGGCCCAGACUCCUACGGGA
RNAcentral lists this ribosomal RNA (313 nucleotides) under uncultured bacterium. Its description in RNAcentral is "bacterial SSU rRNA". It matches the Rfam family "Bacterial small subunit ribosomal RNA", at positions 28 to 346 of the family's 1533-position model. The record is from RNAcentral.